UGCAAGCGGGGAACCUUGAGCUACCUACGCCAGCGUUCUGGAUUAUUUUCCAAAUUUGGUUCCUGAUAAUCUGAGAAAGCUAUGCGCUCAGUAAGAGCAGGGACCUUGUUUUAUCAAACUUUGAUCUUUCAUUAAGCACACAGUGGGCAUUCAACAAACUUGUGUAAACUUGGAAUCAGAUUUAGCCCAGGCCGGUGCGGUGGCUCCUUCCUGUAAUCCCAGCACUUUGGGAAGCCUAGGAGGGCGGAUCGCUUGAACUCAGGUGUUCGAGACCAGCCUGAGCAACAUAGCGAGGCUCCGUCUCUACAAAAAAUACAAACACUAGCCGGCCCUGUGGUGCAGACCUGUAGUCCCAGCUACUGAAGAGGCUGAGGUGGGAGGAUCCCCUGAGCCCAGGCGGUCGAGGCUGCAGUGAGCUGAGAUCGGGCCUCUCCAUUCCAGCCCGGGCGACAAAAAAUCCAGCUAAGUAAAAAUUGGCAAGAUCCUGUGACAAGAUCCUGUGACAAGAUCCUGUGAUCAAGACAAAGUUUUGCCCCCAAAGGACUUGAGGCUAUCUGGGAAUUCCAUGUUUGACAGAAGCGCUGACAGCAUAACCAAGCAAACAAGAAGGUAUUCAGGGACGCUGAAACGGAUCUUCAAAGAAGACUCAGUGGGUGAUUUUUAAUUUCUGUGUAGUAUUAUAGAGCUUAAUGCAGAACAUACCAAAACCUUGGAGAGGUAAUGAUAGGGUCAUGCAUUUCAUAAGGCAGAGUAAUGCCCUGCAACAACAAAAUAAAGUCAAAGAGUUCUA
RNAcentral lists this long non-coding RNA (790 nucleotides) under Homo sapiens (human). RNAcentral describes it as "non-protein coding lnc-MYB-3:1". The record is from RNAcentral. Lineage: Eukaryota; Metazoa; Chordata; Mammalia; Primates; Hominidae.